UCCAGACUCCUACGGGAGGCAGCAGUGGGGAAUAUUGCACAAUGGGGGGAACCCUGAUGCAGCGACGCCGCGUGGGUGAAGGAGCACCUCGGUGCGUAAAGCCCUAUCGGCAGGGAAGAAACAGACGGUACCUGACUAAGAAGCCCCGGCUAACUACGUGCCAGCAGCCGCGGUAAUACGUAGGGGGCAAGCGUUAUCCGGAUUUACUGGGUGUAAAGGGAGCGUAGACGGUUAUGUAAGUCUGGAGUGAAAGCCCGGGGCCCAACCCCGGGACUGCUUUGGAAACUGUGUAACUAGAGUACAGGAGGGGCAGGCGGAAUUCCUGGUGUAGCGGUGAAAUGCGUAGAUAUCAGGAGGAACACCGGCGGCGAAGGCGGCCUGCUGGACUGAAACUGACGUUGAGGCUCGAAAGCGUGGGGAGCAAACAGGAUUAGAUACCCCCGUAGG
This 447-nucleotide ribosomal RNA is filed under the name uncultured bacterium. RNAcentral's name for it is "bacterial SSU rRNA". It matches the Rfam family "Bacterial small subunit ribosomal RNA", at positions 330 to 794 of the family's 1533-position model. The record is from RNAcentral.